RNAcentral lists this microRNA (21 nucleotides) under Monodelphis domestica (gray short-tailed opossum). RNAcentral describes it as "mdo-miR-7371m-3p". Lineage: Eukaryota; Metazoa; Chordata; Mammalia; Didelphimorphia; Didelphidae. The record is from miRBase by way of RNAcentral.
AAAUGUUGCAUCUAGUGCACU